RNAcentral lists this long non-coding RNA (227 nucleotides) under Mustela putorius furo (domestic ferret). RNAcentral describes it as "lncRNA (ENSMPUG00000026938.1)". Lineage: Eukaryota; Metazoa; Chordata; Mammalia; Carnivora; Mustelidae. The record is from RNAcentral.
AGAACAUGCCAAAAGCCAAGCAUUUCAUCUGGCUUAAUUUUCCUCUUGCCUUUUUAAUGUAUUCCAGUGGGAUCUGGCAGUUGUCCUCCCUGUUGGGACUAAUGGCUCCAAAUCCAAGAUCAUUAGAACAGAAGACGGGUGGAGUUAAAAACAGGGAUGCCGAAACCCGAAGGACAUACUUUAACAGUUUGGGGUGGAAGGUGAAAAUCUCAGCAGGGUCAGCGUGA